RNAcentral lists this unclassified non-coding RNA (516 nucleotides) under Hevea brasiliensis (rubber tree). Lineage: Eukaryota; Viridiplantae; Streptophyta; Magnoliopsida; Malpighiales; Euphorbiaceae. The record is from RNAcentral.
GUUUUGCAUUUGCUCUUGGGAUAGUGGUUACUAUUGAGAGAAGAAAAAGAGUUGGUGGUGCUGGUGGAGAUAAGGGACCUUGCUAUCAAGUAGGCCAAAACUUCACGGUCUUGGUUUGGGAGAGAUAAGGCUAGGGCUAGGAUGGCCACUGGGAGUAGCUUUAAAACAGAAUCAGUAUCUUUAUAUGAAGACGAUGAUGGUGGAGAAGAUAGGAAUGGUUAUUUCGUGGAGCGUCUCGAGUCCCGAGACGGGACGAAUGGGACCUAAGGUUGGCACUGUUCGGGAAGAGACGUAGAGAGGGUUCCUUUGGCAGCUACCACCACCGAAGAGCUUUUACUUUAAGUGGCUGUACCACGCCGACCGGCUAUUUAAGGGGUCUCUGUGUGCCUCGAUGGAAUAUAGACUGUUGAUGCUUUACUUUUCAGUGAUAUACGCAAAUUCAUUGAAACAAACAAUGUUUUGUUGUCCUUGUAGGUUAACGGAAUAUGGGGGAAUGCCUCACUCUCAUGUUUCAAC